AUACAGCGGGUGCAAGCGUUAAUCGGAUUUACUGGGCGUAAAGCGCGCGUAGGUGGCUAAUUAAGUCAAAUGUGAAAUCCCCGAGCUUAACUUGGGAAUUGCAUUCGAUACUGGUUAGCUAGAGUAUGGGAGAGGAUGGUAGAAUUCCAGGUGUAGCGGUGAAAUGCGUAGAGAUCUGGAGGAAUACCGAUGGCGAAGGCAGCCAUCUGGCCUAAUACUGACACUGAGGUGCGAAAGCAUGGGGAGCAAACAGGAUUAGAUACCCUGGUAGUCCAUGCCGUAAACGAUGUCUACUAGCCGUUGGGGCCCUUGAGGCUUUAGUGGCGCAGCUAACGCGAUAAGUAGACCGCCUGGGGAGUACGGUCGCAAGACUAAAACUCAAAUGAAUUGACGGGG
RNAcentral lists this ribosomal RNA (396 nucleotides) under uncultured bacterium. RNAcentral's name for it is "partial 16S ribosomal RNA". It matches the Rfam family "Bacterial small subunit ribosomal RNA", at positions 523 to 918 of the family's 1533-position model. The record is from RNAcentral.